This 470-nucleotide ribosomal RNA is filed under the name uncultured bacterium. Its description in RNAcentral is "bacterial SSU rRNA". It matches the Rfam family "Bacterial small subunit ribosomal RNA", at positions 32 to 512 of the family's 1533-position model. The record is from RNAcentral.
AAUCAACGCUGGCGGCGUGCCUCAGACAUGCAAGUCGAACGAUUAAAGCUCUCUUCGGAGAGUGCAUAAAGUGGCGCACGGGUGAGUAACACGUAAGUAAUCUACCUUCGAGUGGGGAAUAACGUCCGGAAACGGACGCCAAUACCGCAUAAUGCAGCGGCAUCGCAAGAUGACAGUUGUUAAAGAUUUAUCGCUUGAAGAGGAGCUUGCGGCAGAUUAGCUAGUUGGUAAGGUAAUGGCUUACCAAGGCUACGAUCUGUAACCGGUCUAAGAGGACGGUCGGUCACACUGACACUGAAUAACGGGUCAGACUCCUACGGGAGGCAGCAGUCGGGAAUUUUGGGCAAUGGGCGAAAGCCUGACCCAGCAACGCCGCGUGAAGGAUGAAGUAUUUCGGUAUGUAAACUUCGAAAGAAUGGGAAGAAUAAAUGACGGUACCAUUUAUAAGGUCCGGCUAACUACGUGCCAGC